RNAcentral lists this ribosomal RNA (440 nucleotides) under uncultured bacterium. RNAcentral's name for it is "partial 16S ribosomal RNA". It matches the Rfam family "Bacterial small subunit ribosomal RNA", at positions 338 to 795 of the family's 1533-position model. The record is from RNAcentral.
CCUACGGGCGGCAGCAGUGGGGAAUAUUGCACAAUGGGGGAAACCCUGAUGCAGCGACGCCGCGUGAGCGAUGAAGUAUUUCGGUAUGUAAAGCUCUAUCAGCAGGGAAGAAAAUGACGGUACCUGACUCAGCAGCCCCGGCUAACUACGUGCCAGCAGCCGCGGUAAUACGUAGGGGGCAAGCGUUAUCCGGGUUGACUGGGUGUAAAGGGAGCGUAGACGGCAAUGCAAGCCAGAUGUGAAAGCCCGGGGCUCAACCCCGGGACUGCAUUUGGAACUGUGUAGCUGGAGUGUGGGAGAGGCAGGCGGAAUGCCUAGUGUAGCGGUGAAAUGCGUAGAUAUUAGGAAGAACACCAGUGGCGAAGGCGGCCUGCUGGACGAUGACUGACGUUGAGGCUCGAAAGCGUGGGGAGCGAACAGGAUUAGAUACCCGUGUAGUC